This is an unclassified non-coding RNA of Carlito syrichta (Philippine tarsier), 102 nucleotides long. It matches the Rfam family "Y RNA". Rfam says of the family: Y RNAs are components of the Ro ribonucleoprotein particle (Ro RNP), in association with Ro60 and La proteins. The Y RNAs and Ro60 and La proteins are well conserved, but the function of the Ro RNP is not known. In humans the RNA component can be one of four small RNAs -- hY1, hY3, hY4 and hY5. Lineage: Eukaryota; Metazoa; Chordata; Mammalia; Primates; Tarsiidae. The record is from Ensembl.
GGCUGGUCCGAGUGCAGUGGUGUUUACAACUAAUUGAUCACAACCAGUUACAGAUUUCUUUGUUCCUUCUCCACUCCCACUGCUUCACUUGACCAGCCUUUU